UACGGAGGGGACUAGCGUUGUUCGGAAUUACUGGGCGUAAAGCGCACGUAGGCGGAUUUGUAAGUCAGGGGUGAAAUCCCGGGGCUCAACCUCGGAACUGCCUUUGAUACUGCAAAUCUCGAGUCCGGAAGAGGUGAGUGGAAUUCCAAGUGUAGAGGUGAAAUUCGUAGAUAUUAGGAAGAACACAAGUGGCGAAGGCGGCUCACUGGCCCGGUACUGACGCUGAGGUGCGAAAGCGUGGGGAGCAAACAGG
Molecule: ribosomal RNA, 253 nt
Filed under: uncultured bacterium
Lineage: Bacteria
Description: partial 16S ribosomal RNA
Rfam family: Bacterial small subunit ribosomal RNA
Source: RNAcentral